RNAcentral lists this ribosomal RNA (423 nucleotides) under uncultured archaeon. RNAcentral's name for it is "bacterial SSU rRNA". It matches the Rfam family "Archaeal small subunit ribosomal RNA", at positions 458 to 880 of the family's 1478-position model. The record is from RNAcentral.
UCAGCCGCCGCGGUAAUACCAGCAGCCCAAGUGGUGGUCGCGUUUAUUGGGCCUAAAGCGCUCGUAGCCUGACCGGUAGGUUCCCCGUGAAAUCGGGUCGCCCAACGGUUCGGCUUGCGGGGAAUACUGUCGGUCUUGGGGCCGGGAGACGCCGAGGGUACUCCGGGGGUAGCGGUGAAAUGCUGUAAUCCUCGGGGGACUACCAGUGGCGAAGGCGCUCGGCGAUAACGGGCCUGACGGUGAGGGGCGAAAGCUGGGGGCGCGAACGGGAUUAGAUACCCCGGUAGUCCCAGCCGUAAAGGAUGCGGGCAAGGUGCUCGUCGCUCUUCGAGGGCGUCGGGUGCCGUAGAGAAGUCGUUAAGCCCGCCGCCUGGGAAGUACGGUCGCAAGGCUGAAACUUAAAGGAAUUGGCGGGGGAGCACA